CUGGCUCAUUGGUACAUUUCAUAAGUACCUUAUCAAAUGUUCCAAUGGUCGGGCA
This 55-nucleotide microRNA precursor is filed under the name Drosophila melanogaster (fruit fly). RNAcentral describes it as "Dme-Mir-985_pre stem-loop". The record is from RNAcentral. Lineage: Eukaryota; Metazoa; Arthropoda; Insecta; Diptera; Drosophilidae.